GGAAGAGGAUCGGGGCCCGGUGGCCCGCACGGACUUCAAAUCCGCUGAGACGGGUCCACAAGCUCGUCUGGUGAGUUCGACUCUCACCCUCUUCCGCCA
RNAcentral lists this transfer RNA (99 nucleotides) under Ectothiorhodospiraceae bacterium. RNAcentral's name for it is "tRNA-Sec". It matches the Rfam family "Selenocysteine transfer RNA". Lineage: Bacteria; Pseudomonadati; Pseudomonadota; Gammaproteobacteria; Chromatiales; Ectothiorhodospiraceae. The record is from RNAcentral.